This 1230-nucleotide long non-coding RNA is filed under the name Homo sapiens (human). RNAcentral describes it as "non-protein coding GATA6-AS1:9". Lineage: Eukaryota; Metazoa; Chordata; Mammalia; Primates; Hominidae. The record is from RNAcentral.
ACUAGAAGUUGGUCCGCGGUGUCCCGGGAGCCUGGGAGCCGCCUCAGCCCGCCCGGAGGGAAGGAGGGAAACACCGUCGGAGCCGACCGCGGCCUGGAGAGGGCCGGAGAGCCGGAGGCCAGGGGCCCGCGACGAGUAGGGGUGGAGGGGAGGAAAGCGGGGAGAUCGCGCGAGGAGGAAGCAGCCGAACCUCGGGCGGGCGCUGCGCAUGGAGAACGGCCGCGGCGGAGGGUGCUCCCAGGCGCGGAGAGAAGCCGAGGGCGCCAGCGGGCGAGCGCGAGUCCGGGGUCUGCGCCGCGCUGCUGGUGAAUAAAAAGGAGAGAGGAGGCGCCUCUUACUGCUCUGCCGGAAAACUGCAGCCUGGGCUCCUGAUUGGACUCACCGAGCCCUAAACAAACAGCGCUCGCCGAAGGGUGCCAGGCUGUGGGUCGGAACUGCGCUCAGCGAGCAGCUGGGCGCUGGAGAAAGGAUUUCUUCCGACAGACGUGACCCCAGAAGGCUGCCGAGGGAGACUUUAGGACAAGAGGCGUUGUUUUUUUAGGGAAGGAAGAGGAGCCUGUGCAGAGUUGAACUGGGGUGGAGAGGUGCCUUGUAAAGUAUGGUUUCCAGAGAUGUUUCAGCGUGGCCGCAUUUGGAAAAGGCUGAAGGUAGAAAACUCUGGAAUGGAGAGGCUGGCGACUGGAGCAGGAUCCAGGGGCUUUAAAUUUUAACCUGAAUGCGAUCGAAUGCGCGACUCCCAGAAGAGAUAGCCAGGCGUCCGCCCGGCCGCUCAACCCCCGCCAGGACUCGGAAUGCCUUGCUUUUGGUUCUUUUCUACAAGGAUGUCUGCGUGGAUAUCCCUGGACACUCGAUACCCCCCGGGGACCUGCUUUUCCCGCAGCUCCGCAGACGCGGCGGGAGGGCGCGCUGGCCCCGGCGCUGCUGGGACAGAGGUGAGCAGCGGGGUGGACAUUGACCGAUUCGACAACGUUCGGGCUCUAAGGGCUCGGGAAGGGACCCGGCAUUUUACCCUCCAGAUUCCCAAUCUAUUUUUAAAAAUAAUGUUCAAAACAUAUGGGAAAAAUAAGUGAUUGCUCCUUUUCAUGGUCACAGAUUGUAUUUAUUUUUUCAGACUGGUUUUCCAACCUAACGAGGGAAUGGGUAGUGAAUGUUGUUGUUGUUGUUGUUGUUUAUGUUGGUUAAUUUCGAAAUAAAACUGUUUAACUCGUACAGUUGAUUCAGACAGAAAAC